GGCGAUGUAGUGUAGUGGCCUAGCACGUAUCCCUCUCACGGAUGAGACCCGGGUUCGAUUCCCGGCUUCGCUA
RNAcentral lists this transfer RNA (73 nucleotides) under Coprobacter sp. RNAcentral describes it as "tRNA-Glu". It matches the Rfam family "tRNA". From Rfam's summary of the family: Transfer RNA (tRNA) molecules are approximately 80 nucleotides in length. Their secondary structure includes four short double-helical elements and three loops (D, anti-codon, and T loops). Further hydrogen bonds mediate the characteristic L-shaped molecular structure. tRNAs have two regions of fundamental functional importance: the anti-codon, which is responsible for specific mRNA codon recognition, and the 3' end, to which the tRNAs corresponding amino acid is attached (by aminoacyl-tRNA synthetases). tRNAs cope with the degeneracy of the genetic code in two manners: having more than one tRNA (with a specific anti-codon) for a particular amino acid; and 'wobble' base-pairing, i.e. permitting non-standard base-pairing at the 3rd anti-codon position. The record is from RNAcentral. RNAcentral also lists the same sequence under 4 other names. Lineage: Bacteria; Pseudomonadati; Bacteroidota; Bacteroidia; Bacteroidales; Barnesiellaceae.